Molecule: ribosomal RNA, 724 nt
Filed under: uncultured archaeon
Lineage: Archaea
Description: bacterial SSU rRNA
Rfam family: Archaeal small subunit ribosomal RNA
Source: RNAcentral
GUCUUGAGGCCGGAAGACGUCGAGGGUACUCUGGGGGUAGCGGUGAAAUGCUGUAAUCCUCGGGGGACCACCAGUGGCGAAGGCGUCGACGAGAACGGACCUGACGGUGAGGGGCGAAGGCUAGGGGAGCGAACGGGAUUAGAUACCCCGGUAGUCCUAGCUGUAAAGUAUGCGGGCCAGGUGUCUGGUGUUCCUCGAGAGCACCAUGUGCCGGAGGGAAGCCGUUAAGCCCGCCGCCUGGGAAGUACGGCCGCAAGGCUGAAACUUAAAGAAAUUGGCGGGGGAGCACUACAAGGGGUGGGACCUGCGGUUCAAUCGGAUUCAACGCCGAAAAACUCACCAGGGGCGACAGUUGUUUGAAGGCCAGGUUGACGACCUUGCCAGACUAUCUGAGAGGUGGUGCAUGGCCAUCGUCAGCUCAUACCGUGAGGCGUCCUGUCAAGUCAGGCAACGAGCGAGAUCCUCGCCCUUAGUUGCUAACAGUGGAAAGCUGAGCACACUAGGGGGACCGCUGGCGCUAAGUCAGAGGAAGGAGAGGGCGACGGUAGGUCCGUAUGCCCCGAAUCCCCUGGGCUACACGCGGGUCACAAUGCGUAGGACAAUGGGUUGCAACUCCGUAAGGGGAAGCCAAUCCCCUAAACCUACGCUCGGUUCGGAUCGAGGGCUGUAACUCGCCCUCGUGAAGCUGGAAUCCCUAGUAAUCGCGUGCCAACACCGCGCGGUG